RNAcentral lists this ribosomal RNA (519 nucleotides) under uncultured eukaryote. Its description in RNAcentral is "SSU rRNA". It matches the Rfam family "Eukaryotic small subunit ribosomal RNA", at positions 1160 to 1704 of the family's 1831-position model. The record is from RNAcentral.
AAGGGCACCACCAGGAGUGGAGCCUGCGGCUUAUUUUGACUCACGCGGGAAAACUCACCCGGCCCGGACACCGUAAGGAUUGACAGAUUGAGAGCUCUUUCUUGAUUCGGUGGGUGGUGGUGCAUGGCCGUUCUUAGUUGGUGGAGCGAUUUGUCUGGUUAAUUCCGAUAACGAACGAGACUCUAGCCUGCUAAAUAGGCAGUGGAUUAUUCCUCCACUGUACUUCUUAGAGGGACAAGCAGCGUCUAGCUGCACGAGAUUGAGCAAUAACAGGUCUGUGAUGCCCUUAGAUGUUCGGGGCUGCACGCGCGCUACACUGAAGGAAUCAACAUGCUUCUCAACCUUGGCCGGAAGGUCUAGGUAACCCGUUGAAACUCCUUCGUGAUUGGGAUAGGGAAUUGCAAUUAUUUCCCUUGAACGAGGAAUUCCCAGUAAGUGCGGGUCAUCAGCUCGCGCUGAUUACGUCCCUGCCCUUUGUACACACCGCCCGUCGCUACUACCGAUUGGAGGUAGAGCAGA